RNAcentral lists this ribosomal RNA (244 nucleotides) under uncultured bacterium. RNAcentral's name for it is "partial 16S ribosomal RNA". It matches the Rfam family "Bacterial small subunit ribosomal RNA", at positions 116 to 354 of the family's 1533-position model. The record is from RNAcentral.
CGUGGGUAACCUGCCCAAGAGACUGGGAUAACACCUGGAAACAGAUGCUAAUACCGGAUAACAACACUAGACGCAUGUCUAGAGUUUAAAAGAUGGUCCUGCUAUCACUCUUGGAUGGACCUGCGGUGCAUUAGCUAGUUGGUAAGGUAACGGCUUACCAAGGCAAUGAUGCAUAGCCGAGUUGAGAGACUGAUCGGCCACAUUGGGACUGAGACACGGCCCAAACUCCUACGGGAGGCAGCAG